CCCUGACCUAUAUAGUAUUCUGCCAAGCUUUUAAUCUAGCCAUGCUGUCGAUCUACUAUUUUUUUUGCAGCGUUUAGAGUAUUCUCUGAUCUUACAAGGGCACAACCUCUCUAUGGGCUGUUUCCUGGCACUCUGUCUAUAGCUUCCUCCUGUCGUUGGAGAGUGCCACAGAAUUAUGUCUAGAUAUGAUGGAGAAUGGUGCACUGUGUAAAACUACCAAGCAUAUCCAGC
Non-coding RNA from Pelobates cultripes (western spadefoot toad), 231 nucleotides. Lineage: Eukaryota; Metazoa; Chordata; Amphibia; Anura; Pelobatidae. The record is from the annotation of a GenBank genome assembly.